Trachymyrmex septentrionalis is the source of this 1406-nucleotide long non-coding RNA. RefSeq lists it as uncharacterized. The transcript has 3 exons. Lineage: Eukaryota; Metazoa; Arthropoda; Insecta; Hymenoptera; Formicidae. The record is from RefSeq and is a predicted model, not a curated record.
UCUUUCUAUUGUCUGUGCUUUCCAUUAGGUCUAUUCGCAUAUAGAUAGGUGUCGACAGUUCGUCAUUCCGCUACGUGUUAGCGGAAUCUAGAAAACUUAAGUUUUAUGAAAAAAGAGUGAAUAAAAUUUUAUGUUAAAAAAUAUAAAAAAAGUGUUUGCACUACAAUUUAUUUUUAGUAUAUUAGUUACAUAAUAUUUUUACUGGAGGGCAAUAUGCCAAAUGAUGAUGGUACGGAAAGGUUCAAGGGAGAAAAAGAAUGGGAUGAGCGGAAUAAGGGACUAGGUGGUGGACAAUUGCUGGGAGUUAAAGGAGCAAGGCUUGAUGAUCAUCGUGAAAAAGCCAAGGAGAUAGAAGAAAGGAGGCUUGCGAGUCAGUUGAGGCAGUUGAGUCCGUUUGAGCAGAAAAACAAUCCUGGUGGUUCACAACAAUCCUAGACGUUAAGUAAAGGGUAGUUGUUGUAAUUUAAAAAUGGGGAGCGAGGCUUUGAUAUGACAGAAAAAAAUUCUACAUCCAAUGAGUUAGUAUACAACAGUAAAUUAUUGAAUAUUAUAAUGGAAAAAGUAACAAAAGGAAAGCACAAACACCUAAACCCAGAAGUUGGGAAAGACGGGACUCUCACAGAAUGCAAGAGGUUGUUCAAAAAAGGGGCUAGUCCUGAGGUAUUAACUGAGUAUUGAAAGAAGAAAUCAAACAGUCAAAAGAACUAGAGAAAAUAAAGAAAGAGAAGAUAGAACAAGUAAUUUCAGAAGCUAUUAACAAGGGCAGCAAAAAAGAUCAUCCUGAUAACGUUGAUCAAAAUGAAACUGGUCGUAGAGAGAGUAUGGAGAGUCAAGACAGUGGAAUUGAAAGCGGCAACAGUAGUGAAGCUGAAGAUGAUCAUGACGCUAGUAAGAAGCAUUCAAUUGAAUUGCAUAAAAUCCCCAAAUAUUUUUGCACUUAAAAUGAGAUUGAUACAUAUUUCACCUUGAAAAGAGAGAAAGCGAAAAUGUCGAGUGCCAAAAGUGCAAGCAACGCGAACAGAGGUCUGUGGCUAAACUACUACUAGUGUACACUUUUGGAACUUAAAGUGAGAUAGAUAUACGUUUUGUAGAGACACAUUCACACUUCCAUACAACACACACACACACACACACACACACACACACACGCACACACCCACCCACCAUUCUCACACUCUUUCAGUUAUACAUCAAUCAUACCUUAUAUUCGUUAGCUCACACACUCCGCGACCAGAUUACACGAUAUCGAAGUUCCCAUCUAGACAUUCUCUUUUUAGUUCUUCUUGCACUUUGAAGAUACACAAGACAUAUCGAGUUACGUUGUCGUGAUAAAAUAUAUGUAAUAAAAUAUAUGUAGUAAAAUAUAUGUAGUAUGUGAUAAUAAACGAAUGUUGUCACACACAUUU